AUGAGGCAUGGAACAUACCUAUAAUCCGUGAUACUGGGGAAGUGAAGGCUAACAGAUCUCUUACACUCAGGAGUUCUAAGCUAUAGUGGGCUAGGCUGAUGGCAUGUCCACACUAAUUCUGUCACUAGUAUAGUGAGCCCUCAGGAGAGGGAGUCCACAAGGCUGCCUAAGGAGAAAUGAAACAACCUGAGUCUGAAGUAGAGCUGGUCAAAGCUUCUAUGUCAAUCAGAGUGAAAUCAGGCCAUGAGUAGCCACUGAAUUUACAGCCUAGAUAAAAUAAGGAGACAUAGACUUUU
RNAcentral lists this signal recognition particle RNA (296 nucleotides) under Vombatus ursinus (common wombat). Its description in RNAcentral is "Metazoan signal recognition particle RNA (ENSVURG00010025003.1)". It matches the Rfam family "Metazoan signal recognition particle RNA". Rfam says of the family: The signal recognition particle (SRP) is a universally conserved ribonucleoprotein. Lineage: Eukaryota; Metazoa; Chordata; Mammalia; Diprotodontia; Vombatidae. The record is from Rfam by way of RNAcentral.